Molecule: ribosomal RNA, 1241 nt
Filed under: Cutibacterium acnes subsp. acnes
Lineage: Bacteria; Bacillati; Actinomycetota; Actinomycetes; Propionibacteriales; Propionibacteriaceae
Description: bacterial SSU rRNA
Rfam family: Bacterial small subunit ribosomal RNA
Source: RNAcentral
AAGGCCCUGCUUUUGUGGGGUGCUCGAGUGGCGAACGGGUGAGUAACACGUGAGUAACCUGCCCUUGACUUUGGGAUAACUUCAGGAAACUGGGGCUAAUACCGGAUAGGAGCUCCUGCUGCAUGGUGGGGGUUGGAAAGUUUCGGCGGUUGGGGAUGGACUCGCGGCUUAUCAGCUUGUUGGUGGGGUAGUGGCUUACCAAGGCUUUGACGGGUAGCCGGCCUGAGAGGGUGACCGGCCACAUUGGGACUGAGAUACGGCCCAGACUCCUACGGGAGGCAGCAGUGGGGAAUAUUGCACAAUGGGCGGAAGCCUGAUGCAGCAACGCCGCGUGCGGGAUGACGGCCUUCGGGUUGUAAACCGCUUUCGCCUGUGACGAAGCGUGAGUGACGGUAAUGGGUAAAGAAGCACCGGCUAACUACGUGCCAGCAGCCGCGGUGAUACGUAGGGUGCGAGCGUUGUCCGGAUUUAUUGGGCGUAAAGGGCUCGUAGGUGGUUGAUCGCGUCGGAAGUGUAAUCUUGGGGCUUAACCCUGAGCGUGCUUUCGAUACGGGUUGACUUGAGGAAGGUAGGGGAGAAUGGAAUUCCUGGUGGAGCGGUGGAAUGCGCAGAUAUCAGGAGGAACACCAGUGGCGAAGGCGGUUCUCUGGGCCUUUCCUGACGCUGAGGAGCGAAAGCGUGGGGAGCGAACAGGCUUAGAUACCCUGGUAGUCCACGCUGUAAACGGGUGGGUACUAGGUGUGGGGUCCAUUCCACGGGUUCCGUGCCGUAGCUAACGCUUUAAGUACCCCGCCUGGGGAGUACGGCCGCAAGGCUAAAACUCAAAGGAAUUGACGGGGCCCCGCACAAGCGGCGGAGCAUGCGGAUUAAUUCGAUGCAACGCGUAGAACCUUACCUGGGUUUGACAUGGAUCGGGAGCGCUCAGAGAUGGGUGUGCCUCUUUUGGGGUCGGUUCACAGGUGGUGCAUGGCUGUCGUCAGCUCGUGUCGUGAGAUGUUGGGUUAAGUCCCGCAACGAGCGCAACCCUUGUUCACUGUUGCCAGCACGUUAUGGUGGGGACUCAGUGGAGACCGCCGGGGUCAACUCGGAGGAAGGUGGGGAUGACGUCAAGUCAUCAUGCCCCUUAUGUCCAGGGCUUCACGCAUGCUACAAUGGCUGGUACAGAGAGUGGCGAGCCUGUGAGGGUGAGCGAAUCUCGGAAAGCCGGUCUCAGUUCGGAUUGGGGUCUGCAACUCGACCUC